Molecule: ribosomal RNA, 301 nt
Filed under: uncultured bacterium
Lineage: Bacteria
Description: partial 16S ribosomal RNA
Rfam family: Bacterial small subunit ribosomal RNA
Source: RNAcentral
CAGUCGCCACGGGAAUACGAAGGGGGCUAGCGUUGCUCGGAAUGACUGGGCGUAAAGGGCGCGUAGGCGGCGAUCAAAGUCAGGCGUGAAAUUCCUGGGCUCAACCUGGGGGCUGCGUUUGAUACUUGAUUGCUAGAGUGGGGAAGAGGGUCGUGGAAUUCCCAGUGUAGAGGUGAAAUUCGUAGAUAUUCGCAAGAACACCAGUGGCGAAGGCGGCUCACUGGCCCGAUACUGACGCUGAGGCACGAAAGCGUGGGGAGCAAACAGGAUUAGAUACCCGAGUAGUCCCUGUCUCUUAUAC